CGACUUCCGAUAAAUCUACACGCUGCUUUAUUUUAACUCUAAUCUGAUUAGGAUCUACUCAGUUUGGUAUUCUUAUGCAAAAUGUCAAAAAUUUUGAGUUAUUAUCCAUGAUGUUUACUCACCCCUGAGUAUAUGUAUAUGUCAAAAGUUUUCAACAGCAAUAUUAUCGGUUUCCGAAGAACAAUUGGUGUCGCUUUUUAUUCGUUGGCUAGCACCCAACAUCAGUAUUGCAGAGGAUUUGAAAACACCUUAAAGAUCUCUUCAAAAUGAACAACCGCAUGUUGUAUGUUCUACGAUGC
Long non-coding RNA from Wyeomyia smithii (pitcher-plant mosquito), 299 nucleotides. RefSeq lists it as uncharacterized. The transcript has 3 exons. Lineage: Eukaryota; Metazoa; Arthropoda; Insecta; Diptera; Culicidae. The record is from RefSeq and is a predicted model, not a curated record.